CAGAGCUUCCGGGUUUCCGGGGCAACUACGAUGGCGAUGAGUUUCGAGUGGCCGUGGCAGUAUCGUUUCCCGCCCUUCUUUACGUUACAGCCCAACGUGGACACACGGCAGAAGCAGCUGGCCGCCUGGUGCUCGCUGGUCCUGUCCUUCUGCCGCCUGCACAAACAGUCGAGCAUGACGGUGAUGGAGGCGCAGGAGAGUCCGCUCUUCAACAACGUCAAGCUGCAGCGGAAGCUUCCUGUGGAAUCCAUCCAGAUUGUGUUAGAGGAACUGAGGAAGAAAGGGAACCUCGAGUGGUUGGAUAAGAACAAGUCUAGCUUCCUGAUCAUGUGGCGGAGGCCAGAAGAAUGGGGGAAACUCAUUUAUCAGUGGGUUUCCAGGAGUGGCCAGAACAACUCCGUGUUCACCCUGUAUGAACUGACCAGUGGGGAGGACACAGAGGGUGAAGAGGGCUCAAGAUUCGUGGGCGUCAGCUGAAGGGAUUGGGCCAACACCCCCAGCCCAUUUAAAUACUUUGGUUUUGGACCAGGCAAGGAUUUGUAUCCGCUUUGAUUUUCACAUAGGAGUUCCACGGGCUGGACGAGGCGACCCUCCUGCGGGCUCUGCAGGCCCUGCAGCAGGAGCACAAGGCUGAGAUAAUCACCCUCAGCGACGGCCGAGGCGUCAAGUUCUUCUAGCAGAGCCUGCCUCCCUGACCUCUCGCCUCCCGCGUUCCCAGGGCUCCAGGGUCCCCACAGACCAGAUCUGUGACCGCAGCGGACUCCUCAGGGCUCCAGGCCGGCGGCUGGGACACAGGGAUGGGUGUCCCCACCCACUUGUCUGUCUUUGGGUUCAGGGAGCCCAAGGUGCAGGGCGAAGGGACUCGCUGCUUUUGCCCUCCCUCCAUCCCGCACGGCCCGAGCCCAGGUCUGUGAACCGGGGUGGCUCGGGUCCAGGCACACAGGCGCCUGCGCAGCCUCGCGUCUCCCUCCCUGCCCUUCUCAGGCUGGUGCCGGGGCCUCCAAGGGCUGGGGAGCCCUGGGUGCCGGCGCCUUCCCGGCGACGUGAAGAGCGCGGCCCCCACAGGGUGGGCAGUGAGGCGGGCACCGCUGAUCUACGCUACUAAAAUCUCAACUCCC
Molecule: non-coding RNA, 1118 nt
Organism: Heterocephalus glaber (naked mole-rat)
Lineage: Eukaryota; Metazoa; Chordata; Mammalia; Rodentia; Bathyergidae
Source: RefSeq, a predicted model, not a curated record